GAAUGUUCAAUGCGGAAGACAAACACGGAACACUGAAGGCUUGACAAACUCCCACAGACCCGAGGCAAGUUUCUAAGGAGUUUGUGUGGGACCAAAUUGUUUUACGUGCAUAACCAAACAACCAUGUGGCCAAAUCAAGGUCCACUCCCUCCGAUAGGACCACCAAACCCUGCAUAUCCUCCUGGCUACAACCCAGCUUUCCCUCCGACUCCUUCUUCAGGAACAUUCCCCCAGCCUCCACCUCCACCGUACCCAUCUGUUCAGUACCCAGCUGGCCACUACCCACCCGUCAAUUAUCCAGCUGGCCAAUACCCAGCUUAUGUAAACCCAGCCAUGGUACCAAACCCAGCUCCAGGCACAAUGCCCUAUGGAGCCCCAGGAGCUCAUCCUCAUCCUUAUCCUGUAGCUCCAGGUGGAUAUCCGGUCGUCCGUCCUGCAGGCGUUUAUCCAGGUCAUUAUCCACGCUCUCCUAAAGGGUGUCAUUAUAAAGGCUACCACAGAGCUUAUCCUGCCGGUGUACCUUCCAUGUCUGGUGGGUUAGCUGGAGGUCUGGCACUAGCGGGCAUGGGGCUGAUGGGACAUAAAGCCCAAAAAAAGAUGAGGAAGAAGAUGAAGAAAGCACAUAAAGCUCACAAGUGGCACAAACAUGGCUGCAAGUCCUCCAGCAGCAGCAGCAGCAGUAGUGAUUCAGACUGAGGGCAUCUGUCCAAAACACAGCUUUCACAGCUCUUCAAAAGGUCAACCUGACUAACAGUUAUCACUAAAAGGUCAUUAUACUUAUUUUAAGAGGGUUUCCUAAAAAUGUAGUAUUUUCUUACAUCUCUAAUGGGCUAUUUAUAUUACUAGGAGUGCAGGGUUUUUGUUGUAAAAUGUAUAAACUAUGAAAAAACACAUGUAAAAUUAUUUGAACUACUGUUUUCCUUGUGGUUAGGACCAAUACUGCCAGUUACAUUGAUGUGAAUCUGUCCAGACUCAGAACAAAAACAAGAUGCUGAGGCAGAAUAAAUAUGAUUUCUUUCUUUAUGUACAAACUAUUUUUGUUUUUGGUUUACUGUGGUAAUGAUGUGGAAUUAUUAUUUUUAUUUUACUGUGUUCUCUGAAUUUUAUUUUAUUUUUUAUUUUUUUACAAUGUCAUACAUUUUUUUCAAAGCUUUUUCACUUCAUUUCUGUUUACAUUACUAUAUUACAUUGAUUAAUUAAAACACUUCAAAAUGUAUUCAUGUGUUGUGUCUUCAUAUUAUGUUCAUUAUGUAAAAUAGGUAUCAAAUAGGCUGUGAAAAACUGUAAGAAGUUGUACGGUUAUGAACUGGUCUCAACACUAUGUAAUGAGUAAUUGUAUAGUGUUUGUGUAUUUGAUGUGUGAUCUGAUUGUGCAGUGAUGUGAUUGUGCUGAAAGAAUAAAAAUAAAAAGUUGUGAAUUGAGGC
This 1425-nucleotide long non-coding RNA is filed under the name Sphaeramia orbicularis (orbiculate cardinalfish). RNAcentral describes it as "lncRNA (ENSSORG00005003466.1)". Lineage: Eukaryota; Metazoa; Chordata; Actinopteri; Kurtiformes; Apogonidae. The record is from RNAcentral.